UUCGAUAAAGGCAAACUCUUCGUAAGGAGAGGACGCAAAGCCACAGGGUCCAGCAAUAGGACAGCCUAGCUACCGAAG
This 78-nucleotide non-coding RNA is filed under the name Candidatus Omnitrophota bacterium. RNAcentral's name for it is "Omnitrophica WOR c-di-GMP sequence". It matches the Rfam family "c-di-GMP-I-GGC riboswitch aptamer". The record is from RNAcentral. Lineage: Bacteria; Pseudomonadati; Candidatus Omnitrophota.